CCUUUGAACUGGUUCACAGUGCACCAGUGUUACCUAUGGCCUUGCUGUCUGAUGGACUUCCUCCAAAGUGUCCAGCUAGAAACUCCAUGUUCCCUGGAAAUACUUUCUCUCUGCCUUGUGCUCAGAGCACAGAUGUGAAUAGGGACCUAGACAUUUUUGUGGAUGGCUCCAACUUUUAUGAGGAAGGAAAAUGUUCAUUUCCACGGGUCAUGAGUCAGACAACUCUGGGCAAAAUUAAUUAACCAGGCUAUAUGCAGGCUGAUCCAUCCCGUACUACUUCUCCAACCCCAGUCCCUUCCAUUCCCUUUUGCUUGUAGUAUUUAUAGUGCUAGGAAAUCUAAAUGUUGAGGUUGCCCACCUCAGUCAGUGCAGAGGUAUCAUGGCCCUGCCUGGCUGCCCAGUAAGAGCCAUUUAAUUUAUAUUCCCUGUUUUGUGAUUUUGGACAUAAAAGGCAGAAGCAGAAUACUUGCGGUCUCAAUUCUCACCAGACACCUAGCAUAGAAGAAAAGGCAAUGUCAUAACGCUGAGUUGUCACCGUGGCUAAUUACAAGACCGAAGUAGAAGGGGCUGGGCUAUAGGGGAGGAAGAGCCCCAGAGGAGUCAUGCAAUGCUGUUGCACCUGGACCCUCAGGGAACCACUGAUCAUCACCUCCAGACAAGUGAAAGUUCACUCAGUGGAAACAACAAAGUCAUGGUGUGAGUGACCCAAGGGGGCAGGACAUGCCUGUGGCCUAUCAGCAACUGUGUUGAGCAUGAAUCUGUCACAAAUCCUCUCCCCACUGCAGCAGAAGUCUCUUCCAUCUUUGUCCUGUCCCCUUGCUGACACUAGCUCAAGCCCAGGAUGAUUGCAGUGAGGCCUGGUGGUGGGCAGUGGUAUCCUAGUAGAGAAUUACAGAGGAAUGAGGAUGCUGCAGCACUACAGACUCCCCAUGCAGUUGGGCUAGGAACAGCAGGAUGCCUGAUCCAGCCCAUUGCAUGACUUCCCAUUGCAUCCAGAGCUGCCCUGUUUCCCAGGGCCAACAAUCAAGCUGUCACAGCGCCUGUCCUCCCUAGACAUCUUCAUCAGGAUCACAACUGUGACAUGAUGAAGUCAUCUCCAGAUCCAGUUGACACAGUCUGGAGCAGAAGUCAAGAUGCCUGGGGUUGUUUCCAGCAUCCUCUGCUCUCAAGGAGUGACCAACAUCUGAGCUCCCUGGGAGAAUCCAGAGCCU
Molecule: long non-coding RNA, 1211 nt
Organism: Alligator sinensis (Chinese alligator)
Lineage: Eukaryota; Metazoa; Chordata; Crocodylia; Alligatoridae
Exons: 4
Source: RefSeq, a predicted model, not a curated record